RNAcentral lists this ribosomal RNA (250 nucleotides) under uncultured bacterium. RNAcentral's name for it is "partial 16S ribosomal RNA". It matches the Rfam family "Bacterial small subunit ribosomal RNA", at positions 524 to 773 of the family's 1533-position model. The record is from RNAcentral.
UACGUAGGGGGCUAGCGUUGUCCGGAAUCAUUGGGCGUAAAGCGCGUGUAGGCGGUUCGGUAAGUCCGCUGUGAAAGUCGGGGGCUCAACCCUCGAAUGCCGGUGGAUACUGUCGGACUAGAGUACGGUCGGGGUAGAAGGAAUUCCUGGUGUAGCGGUGAAAUGCGUAGAGAUCAGGAAGAACACCGGUGGCGAAAGCGUUCUGCUAGACCUGUACUGACACUGAGGGACGAAAGCUAGGGGAGCGAAU